This is a long non-coding RNA of Pteropus alecto (black flying fox), 4871 nucleotides long. RefSeq lists it as uncharacterized. NCBI's taxonomy places the organism in Eukaryota, Metazoa, Chordata, Mammalia, Chiroptera, Pteropodidae. The transcript has 2 exons. The record is from RefSeq and is a predicted model, not a curated record.
UCCAGUGUGGGCGGAACAAGAGUCGUCCUUCCGCUUUCAAUUGCAGGUGGUUGCUACGGGCACUGGGAACUGAAAGUACACCGUGAGAGUUCUUUUAGAGAAGGUGUGAACCUGGCCCAAGAUUGGCAACUGGGAAACUUUAUGUGGAGAAAGGGCGAUCUGAGUCCUGACUCGAUAGGUCCCUCGCCGGCUCCCGUAAUCCCCGCCAGAGCACGUUGGCUCCAUUUUCUCCAAGCUCUCCAGCCGCCGUGCCUUUCGCGGGAUUCCCCGGUCUUCCGGUUCUGGUGCGGUCUUCUGCGAGGUGCUGUGUGCAGUACUCCAGGGCCGGACGUGGGCGGUGCGAGCGAGUCCAUUCGCUUCAGCCCUCCCCUGCCAUUGCUGUUCAGGAAAGUUGGUGGGUUUUAACCUGUCGGAAAGUCGUCAAGUUUCCGCAAGGCAUCAGACCUGUGUCACAGUUUGCAGACUCUCCCACCUUCUCCUGCUUCCUUCCCUUUUAUCUUUCACAGAUAUUUCCCCUAAUGAAUCUUUUGCAUUUUGUUCUGCUGAGUUGUGCCUUCCCCAAAAUUUAUAUGUUGAAGUCUUAAACCCCCAACAUCUCAGAAUGUGACUGUAUUUGGAGAUAAGUCCUUUAAAGAGGCGAUUAAGUUAAAAAUGAAGCUACUAGAGCAAACCCUAAUCCAGUCUGACUGGUGUCUUUAAGAAAUUUAGACAAAAAGAGACACCAGGGGCAUGUGUGCACAGAGGAAGGUCCAUGUGAAGACACAGCAAGAAGGUGGCUACGUACAAGUGAAGGAAAGAGGCCUCAGAAGAAACCAAACUUGAUGAUACCUUGAUCUUGGACUUCUAGCUUCUAGAACUAUGAGAAGUUGAUUUCUGUACAGAGCUUAUGGCAAACCCCAGUAGAAAAAUCACAGUGCAGUCCCUGGGACUCUGGAGCAAGGCCAGGCCAUCUGCAACAAAGAAUUAUAUACAUUUUAAGAAUCGACUACUAGAGUGAUACUGGGCCUUGGUGGAAAUAGAACACUUAACCAUAAGGUACCAAGUAACCAUGUGUCUAGAACUGCCUGUUAUGGACUGGGUUCUAUUGAUCCAGAUAGAACCAGCAGCAUCUAUUGUAAAAUGGAAAUGUUACAUCAUGGAUGGAGCUCAAGUGUAUUGUGGCACUGGUAAGCCGUAUGACCGGGUAGCCCAGAUGCCCAUGUCACCUGCCACAACCAGACUAAUAUAACCAGCUGAAGGAGGAGGGGUAAAACCUGAGUUUGGUUUAUGGAUAUGUCAGCUCAGUAUAUGGGUGCAGGCCAAAAUUAGAUGGCGGCUACAUUGGUCAUAUUCUUGAGAGGCUUUAAAAACAAAAUCUUCCCAAUGGUCGAAGUUGGAAGCAUUGUUUCUGUUCAUUUGCUUUGUAUAUAAGGAGAAGCAGACUGAAGUAAGAAUAUAUAUAGAUUCUUGUGCAUGUGUCAAUGGCCUGGCCUUUGGUAGAGGACCUAGAAGGAAAAAGACUAGAAGAUCAAAGACAAGAAAGUCUGGGGUAGAAUCAUGUGGAUGAAUAUAAGGAGUGGGCAUGAAGUAUGAAGAUUUUUGUAUUGCCUCUCAUAUCCACCAGGGAAGAGGCACUAAACAAGUAGACAGAAUGACUCAUCCAUUUGUCAUUAACAGCUUUAAUCAUCAGCCACCUUGGACUAGCACAAUGAGCACUGUAUGGGUUGUAUUAUAUCCCCCACAAAGUUUGUUUGUUGCAAUCCUAACCCCUAAUACCUCCAAUUGUGACCUUAUUUAGAAAUAGGAUUGUUGCAAAUGUAAUUAGGAUGACAUCACGAGUAGAGUGGGCCCCUAUGUCAAUAUGACUAGUGUCGUUAUAAGCAGACACCAAGUGAAGAAAGAGAUACACAGAGAUAAUGCCAUGUGAAGAUAAAAACAGAUCAAGUUGAUGUAGCAGAAGCCACAGCAUGCCAAAAUUGCCAGCAAACCACCAGAAGCUAGAGAAGAAGCAUGGAACAGAUUUUCCUUCACAACCCUCAGAAGGAACUAAACCUGCUGACACCUUGAUCUCAAACUUGUGGCUUCCUGAACUGUGAGACAAUAUCUGUUAUUUAAAUCACCAGAUCUGUGGUUCUUUAUUAAGGCAGUCCUAAGAAACUCAUACAGGCAUAUAAAUAAAGUGGCCACAAUGGCAGAGAUGCAGGCUAUGUAUGGGCCCCAAAGCAUGGACUUCAGCUUUCCAAGGCUGAUCUGGCUACUGAUGCCUAAAUGUCCAACCUGUCAGCAAGAAAUCAGUGCGGAUCCCCCAAUGUGGCACUAUUACUCAAAGAGAACAACUGUCUACUUGGUGACAAUUUGACUACAUUGGGUCCUUUUUUUCCUGGAGGGGCCAGUGGUUCAUUCUCACAGUGAUAGAUAGCUAUUCUGGGUGUGGGUUUUCCUUUCCACGCACAGAUCCUCAGCUGGAGUUACUGUAUAGGGGUUUAUGGAAUGCCUGAUCCACAGGCAUAAGGAUCCUGUGUAACAUAGCAUUCGACCAGAGGACCUGCUUCAUGGUAAAAGAGGUGUAGGAGUGGACACGUGACCAUGCAAUCCACUGGUCAUACCACACCAUCCAAAAGAGCUGACCCCAAAGAGAGCUAGAAAUGACUUUCUAAAGGCACGGGUGAAGUGCCAGUCAGAAGCAACACUCAGAAGUUGGAUGCUAACAUUCAGGAUGAGUUGUACACAUUAAAUCAGAGGCCUUUAUGACCCCAACAGGAAAAAUACAUGGGUCCACUUACCAAGGAAUGGAGGCAGGAAUAGCACCACUUACCUUUGCUGCCAAUGACCCACUAGAGGAUUUUGUGCUUUCCAUACCCACAAAUCUGGGCUCUAUAGGGCUGGACGUACUGGUCCCCAAAGAGGUUGCACUCCUGUUAAGGGACACAGCAAGGGUCCUAUUGUACUACAAGCUGUGACUGCUGCUGGGUACUUUGGACUCAUUCCAGGAGCAUCUCCUGAUACUCUCUUGCCCCAUUGUAACUGUGAAUACAUGUAGCAACUCUGGCCUGAGAAAGGUAUGGUUAUCAGGAGCUCAGACCCCUUAGGAAUUAAGGUUUGGAUCAUACCACCACUUAAGCCAACAAGACCUGCUAAAAUGAUAACUGAGGAUGAGGGGAAUUUAGAUUGGAUACAGGGAAAAGGAGAGAAUGCCCAUGUUGGGGCCUCCAAACCAAUUGCUGUGUUCAUUUCACUAACUUCCUCUUCUAAGUUUCCCUUCAGGAAGAAAGGCCCAUGGGAACCAUGGAAGAGCAUCUCCAACCCUGCAUCAAGAAGUAGGUCUGUGGGGCAAAGGAAUGAACUGUGGUGGUUCGGAAAAUGGGCCACUGGAUUUCCUGCUGUGCAGAACAUAGUUAAUUGAUGACCCCAGCUGCUGACCUGGAUCUACCACCGUGUUCACAACUGAGGCCACACUUCCCAUAAUCUGUUCCUCGCUGAUGACUGAGCAUGGUGCGGUAAUAAUACAGGCUCAUUUCUCUGAGACUUGGGACUCCUUGGGCCACCCUGACUAGAGAACUACCCAUAGGAUCAGAGCUCAGAGGGAAAUUUAGAGAAAGGAUCAGGAAAUUUAUGCAAAGUAAAAUUAAAGAUAAAACCAGAAAUCAAUGAAAUAGAAAGCAGAUAUACAACAAACUUGGCAAAGCCAAGACUUAUUAAUCUUUGAAAAGACUUAAAAAAUUAACUCCUGGAAAGACUAAUGAAAAAAUGUAAGAAAACACAUUACCAAUAUCAGUAGUAAAAAGGGGGACAUCACUACAGGUCCUGUAGACAUUAAAAAUAUGAGGAUAUUAUAAACAGUUUUAUACCAAUAAACUUGAUAAUUCAGAUGAAAUGGAAAAUUUUGUCAUAAAAAGAAAACUAAGACUGAAACAUAAUAAAUAGAAAGUUCUAUAUAUUUUAAAGGAAUUAAAUUUAUAAUUUAAAACCUUUCUAAAAAGAUAACUCCAGAUGGCUUCACUGGUGAAUUCUUUCCAACAUGUAUAUUUCUUUUAGAAAGGCAUAAAAGGCAUAUUCACACUUUCUAAUGCUUAUAUAUUACACAUUCUAUUUGUGCAUUAACUUCUCCCUGCUCCAUAUAUCAUUUAUUGAGACCUACUAAGCGUUAUGUUGAGAGUUGUAGAUAAAAAGCUGAAUAGUUUUUGGCAGAGGGAGCUUUCAGAUUGAUGGAAGAAGCAGACAUAAAAUGUAAAUGCACUGAAAUACUGCUAAUAAAGAUUUAUAUCAAGUACUAUGAGAGAUAGGUAUGAAUCCAGGGAAGGGAAGGCUUUCCAGGCAUGAGAGGUGAAGCCAUGUACCAUGUGCUAGGAGCAUAAAAAUAACUGGAAAAUAGAGGACAUUCCUUCUCAGUGUUCCUUACUGGAUCUUCUCUUAUUUCCUUAAAAUUUUUGAUACCUCAGAGUUCUCUCCUUGGCUUCUGUUUUUCACUCUCCCUAAACAAUUUCAUCCAUACCCACAUUUGUCCUUUUCAUUCCAAAAUCUGUAUGUCCAACCCCUACCUCUCCCUUGAGCUCCAUGCCCAAAUAAUCAAGUAACGAGAGAACUCACAACAGUUGGGAGAGCUAGAGGAAACAUCUCUAACAUAACUGGAGCUUGAGUUCAGUCACGUGGCUGAUGAUCUAAUUAAUCAUGCCUAUGUAAUGAAAUCCCAAUAAAGUCUCCAGUCAUUGAGACUCAGAGGAGUCCCUGGUUGGUGAACACAGGUGUGUUGGGAAGGUGAAACGUCCUGACUCCAUGGGGAGAAGGCAUGGAAUCUGUGUUGAAGAUCUUCCCAGACCUCACCCUUGGUGUCUCUUCAUUUGGCUGGCUCAGAUUUGUAUCCUUUAAAUAAAACUGUAAUGGUAAGUGUAGCA